RNAcentral lists this long non-coding RNA (544 nucleotides) under Cricetulus griseus (Chinese hamster). RNAcentral's name for it is "lncRNA (ENSCGRG00015033194.1)". The record is from RNAcentral. Lineage: Eukaryota; Metazoa; Chordata; Mammalia; Rodentia; Cricetidae.
AAUACAGACAUUGGGAAGGGAGACUGCUGUCACAGGUCUAUGGUUAUGUCAGUAACAAGAUUUUUAUUUUUUGUUUUCCUCGUUUGGAUUUGGCAGAAGGGCUCCUUGAUUCUGCUUGGCCAGAUCACACAGAUCUGCAGGUUUCCACCCUGAUUCUUUAGGUCCAAUGUAGAGAAGAAGUCAAAGCUGAUGCAAGAAAAGGGGGCAGAAGAGUGAAAUAGCAGAGACUUUUGGCAAGACACACUCAAUGAACACUGCAGUCUUCCUGGAAGCAAGUCCAGGUCCCACAGUCAGUGAGCGCCACACUGGCCACCUGGACUGGAGUGUUUUAGCCAUCAGGCUGAGCUCCAGAGGAUGGACAGCAAACAGGACAGCAUUGGCAGGAAUUUGAGAUGCAGCUUCCUGUGUCUGCAAAGGGUCUUAGUGCUUGUGAAAAGCAGGACAAACAGAGGUGGGAUGUUCCCUGGACAAACUGCUUAGCACACUGCCUCCAUCACGCAGUACUCAAGUCCUGAUGUGAUGGCUUCCCCUCUCAGGAUCUGUG